UCUGCUUCCUCCACUUUGGGACUGGAUGAGACUGAACAACUGGAUGAAGAGGAACUCUCACCUGGGUCUGGAGCUGUUUACUCCACCUUGGGCCUGGAUGAGACUCAACAACUGGAAUCCAGUGCAGCUAAUGAGGACAACUUAGCAUAUGCUUCUGUCACAAUAACCAGG
Molecule: long non-coding RNA, 171 nt
Organism: Scomber japonicus (chub mackerel)
Lineage: Eukaryota; Metazoa; Chordata; Actinopteri; Scombriformes; Scombridae
Exons: 3
Source: RefSeq, a predicted model, not a curated record